Molecule: ribosomal RNA, 380 nt
Filed under: uncultured eukaryote
Lineage: Eukaryota
Description: partial 18S ribosomal RNA
Rfam family: Eukaryotic small subunit ribosomal RNA
Source: RNAcentral
CAAUAGCGUAUAUUAAAGUUGUUGCAGUUAGAACGCUCGUAGUCGGAUUUCGGGGCGGGCCGACCGGUCUGCCGAUGGGUAUGCACUGGUCGGCGCGUCCUUCCUUCCGGAGACCGUCCCUACUCUUAACUGAGCGGGGGCGGGAGACGGGACUUUUACUUUGAAAAAAUCAGAGUGUUUCAAGCAGGCAGCUCGCUCUUGCGUGGAUUAGCAUGGGAUAAUGAAAUAGGACUUUGGUGCUAUUUUGUUGGUUUCGAACACCGAAGUAAUGAUGAGAAGGGACAGUCAGGGGCACUCGUAUUCCGCCGAGAGAGGUGAAAUUCUCAGACCAGCGGAAGACGAACCACUGCGAAAGCAUUUGCCAGGGAUGUUUUCACUGA